Long non-coding RNA from Carassius carassius (crucian carp), 551 nucleotides. RefSeq lists it as uncharacterized. The transcript is spliced from 3 exons. The record is from RefSeq and is a predicted model, not a curated record. Lineage: Eukaryota; Metazoa; Chordata; Actinopteri; Cypriniformes; Cyprinidae.
CGCAUGCCAGUCUAACACGUUCUAUAGCUGAGAACACUUUUUUUGGUUUAGCGUUACAUCAUAGCCUAGUGAAAUGAGUGCAUUGAAAAGAUCAUUGCAAAUGGCUUACAAACGCAGGAAAGACAGCAAUAUCAGUUUUGUGACAUCCCAGACAGAUGAUAAAAGCAUCCUUACUGUUCACGAGGAGCAGCCCGGGAAAGAUGAGCCUAUCGAUGAAGGAGUUUGCAGCAAGUACAGAAGCUCUGGAAUCUCAGAAACCUUCACUGUGGAAGAAGCAAUUGAGGCUAUCGGUUUCGGAAGGUUUCAGUGGAAACUCUCAAUGCUAACAGGAGUUGCGUGGGUAAGACAUUCUGCAUUAUACUGUAGUAUUUUAAAUACAAGUGAUGUUUACUGAACAAAUAUCUUCAGUUUUUCAGCUCAUUCGGUUUACUUAAAAACUUGUUUACUUAAAAUUGUUUUACAUUUGCAUGCUAAGAUGGCUGAUUCUAUGGAAAUGAUGCUCCUUAGUAUUGUAACUCCUCAACUGCGCUGUGAGUGGAGGCUCUCGAGCU